CUCACAAUCGGAUUUAAAACCUCAUCGAUUACAUGCAGAACUUGCGAUUUGCUUGGAACAUUGUUAUUUUCGGAGCGAUAGUCGGAGAGGUCGGGUAUAAUUCGCGCAUUAUUCACAUCCUUGGUCUCCUUGGCGUACCAUACCAUAUGAUAAUUGAUGACAUCGUUCAACUGUCUACCGGAAUACCAUUCGAAGGCCUCGUUCGUUGGGGCGAAAACAGUCAACUCGCCAUAUUGAAGAUUAAGUUUCGACGAUCGAUUACUUUCGAUUAGGGCUAGAAACUGACCAAGUUUUGGCGUCUGGCGUAUCUUCUGAUAAACGGUCGGCUUCCAAGACUUUGCGUAAGCGAGAGCCCGACAGAGUAAUAUUAAGCACAAUAGUUUAAUGAACAUAAUUUAAGUGAGCACUAACGAGUUUAUCUAAACUAUGUAAAAGUUUAAGAAGGCGUUAAAGGUUAUCGUUUCAAUCAUUGCGUUAAAACACACGAUUUUAGUGUUGAUGUUGUUAUUUAUGUAAAUGUAAAAUAUCUACUAAGUGAAGUUAAAAUUUUAUAUCAAAAAAAUGAGAACGAAUUCAUUAAAAAACCUAUGAGACAAAUUUAAAUGUGACAAUGUCCAAUUAUUUUAGCGGCAACUCAAUUAGCACGUUUUAUGUGCUGAAUGUUUUAUGAGGUGUUUUAAUAUUCUGCUCUAUUCUAAGAUUUUCUUAAUUAUAAUUUACACCCUUCUGUGUUGCUUUGGUCUCAAAUGACCACCUGGCAUGGCAUAACAAGGAAACGUCCCGAAUGUGCUUUUCAUAUGAUUGACUUUAACAAAGUUAAAGAAAACACCAAGAAGGUUACCGUUAGCGACCCAAUAGGAGUUGUACCCCCAAGGAAAAGCACUGAUUGACUCGUGUACUAGACGCCACCGAAGGGCUGACUUAUACGCAGCUACCACCAACCACUUGAGUUGAGCAAGUCUUUGCUUUCCUACACAAGCUCCUGAGGCUGGGAAUUUGGCUCUAGUUCAUCGGUUACGCGAGUACAAAACAGACCUCAGCUCAGGCCAGGUACCCAUAAAUGAAGAGGGGUGUUUAGUAGGUACUAACUUGGGCAAUCAAAUGGUAUAGACCUACCUCGAAGAUCGCCGCUUCACCUUACGCACCGACAGUCGAGCCCUGCAAUGGAUAGACCGGACAAAGGACGACAGAAGCAAAGUGACAGUGUGGGCGAUGCUGAUGCAAAAAUGCACGUUCUCAUUCGAAAACUGCGCCAUGGACCAUCAGAAUUAACUAGCCGAGCGCUUGUCCCGUAACCCAGAAGCAAUAGGUACCACACACAACUGGGUCCACCACCUGUAUUUUUAUGAUAGUUUUAUUGUUGAAUUAGAAUAAUAAUAAUAAUAAUAAUAAUAAUGUUUAUUUCCAAUGAACAUCAUAUAGUACAAAAGGAAAAAGAAAAAGUACAUUCAGAUUGGAAAAAGGACCACAUUCAGUGCGAAAAUUACCAACAAAUCACCUUAGGUCUAAAUUUGUUUAGGUCUCAUUAACGUUAUUCCCUGAAUAAUUUCAUGUAGGUACGAGUAAGUACACGAAAUUGUUGAUACACCCAUUUUUGGUUGUACCUAGGGAUUAAUUUAAAUUUCUAAAUUUGUAAAAUGACCGGAUGUUCGCAUACAUAUUGCUCUGUACGUUUGACAAUAAAGACUGUUUGCGAA
Photinus pyralis (common eastern firefly) is the source of this 1697-nucleotide long non-coding RNA. RefSeq lists it as uncharacterized. Lineage: Eukaryota; Metazoa; Arthropoda; Insecta; Coleoptera; Lampyridae. The transcript is spliced from 2 exons. The record is from RefSeq and is a predicted model, not a curated record.